RNAcentral lists this transfer RNA (72 nucleotides) under Thermoplasmata archaeon. RNAcentral's name for it is "tRNA-Ala". It matches the Rfam family "tRNA". From Rfam's summary of the family: Transfer RNA (tRNA) molecules are approximately 80 nucleotides in length. Their secondary structure includes four short double-helical elements and three loops (D, anti-codon, and T loops). The record is from RNAcentral. Lineage: Archaea; Methanobacteriati; Thermoplasmatota; Thermoplasmata. RNAcentral also lists the same sequence under 2 other names.
GGGCCGGUAGAUCAGCGGAAGAUCGCUUGCUUCGCAAGCAAGAGGUCUCGGGUUCAAAUCCCGACCGGUCCA